RNA transcript from Carya illinoinensis, 3882 nucleotides. RefSeq lists it as uncharacterized. Lineage: Eukaryota; Viridiplantae; Streptophyta; Magnoliopsida; Fagales; Juglandaceae. The transcript is spliced from 3 exons. The record is from RefSeq and is a predicted model, not a curated record.
UUCCUAACCUAGCUACCGUACUGCCGUUACCAUUAUCGUUUCCAUCUCCGAGAAAGAGAGAGAAGAGAGAGACAGAGAGCGGGACCAGGGAGUGAGCAAGAAAAAGCCAGGAAACAAGAUAGAGGAGGGUGAUGGACGGUGCUGAUCGCUGGAACGUGAAAAGUAUCGGAUGUCAACGGCAGGAUAAAACGAUAUUCAACCGGAUGAUGCUCAGAUUCCGUCCGAUUGCACCGAAACCAGCCACCGGCGGCUCCAAUUCUAUGCCGGAGAAUAAAAACAACACUUUUGUCACGAAAGCAAGGAAGAAGAGAAAGUACGUUAGGCUUCGCAGGAAUAACAAUGGAAACAAGAAAAAGAAGACGGUUCCUGUGGAAGAGAGCAAAGACUGGUUGGACAAGAAGAUUGUGACACUGCAACUGUUGCCUGAGGGAGCUGAAAACAAAGAUCUAGACACUGGAGACACCGGGUCUAAGGUUAAUCCUACCGCUGGAAAACUUGCAGCCGACGAUCAUGAGGAUGGGGACCCCCGAAUGUGGCUGAAGGACAAGAAAUGGGUGUUCGAUAGCGUGAAUCCCGAUGCCCGGUCAGAUCGGACAGUGGUUACGGCACCGAUGAGGGUGGUGGAGUCCUGGGUGACAGUGGGUAGCGUGACGGACACGUGCAUGGAUGUACGAUGGUUAGGGUGUACGGACGGAGAAAUAAUUAAGAAUCUCGAAAGGGACACGUGUCCGGGGUUUAUAUCAGAUGGCUACGAGAAGGUACAGUGGGUGAAUGAGGCGUACAAGAGGAUGGUGAGUGAGGACAGUGACGGGCAGUCACCGGAGUGUACAGUGAGGUUGGUGGCGAAGGAGAAGUUUCCCUAUUUACACCCGGGGUUUACGGGUCAAGUGAGGCUACAGCAUACGUGGCGGAACCAGAAAUGUUCAAAGGUAAUGCCCUGCGAUGUGUGGAGGAUGGAGUUCGGAGGGUUUGCAUGGAGGUUGGACGUCAAGGCAGCGCUAAGUCUGGGGCUUUAGGAUGCGAAGAAAGUAUCAAACAUCAAAGAGAUCUCUCAGGUAAGCAAUAAUUCUAUGACAUUGAAUGUUAAAGUGAUAACAACAUGCAAGUUUUAGAAGUAUAUAUAAUUACCAUGACAAUGCAAACAGGAUGGCCUUUAGCUGUUUUUAUUCUUGGGGAUGCAAGCUGGGAAAAAUAAUAGCCGUAAAAACCACGUCAAGAUAAUUAAGGAAGCAUUAAGGUUGAAACACUGCCACGUGGGGGUUCUGGGAAAUUCCCAUUGGGCCACAUUUUGAUAAUAAACUAGUCAAUUAGCUAGCCUCAAGAAAAAGGAUUUUAUAAUGUCCAAGAUUCUCAUGAUACAGUACAGCUAGGAACUCAUCUUUAGCUUGGUGAAAGUUUAUAUUUUUGGCUCUAAUGUAUGAUUGUUUGGUCUAUACUAGUAUUCUUAUUAUAUGAGUUGAAGUGGUCUGAAAGUAUCACGAGGGACCGCAAGCUCUACCAAACUGUUUUGACGUUUUAACUUUGUACGAUUAAAAAAAAAAAACAAGUGUCGGGAGUUGUUGUGCUGUAAAAGCAUACAUAAACAGUACAUACAUUUCACAAAAAGUACUAAAUUUAGAAAAUGACAGUAUAUUAUGUCGCAAGAGAUAAUACGAUAAAAAAUAAAAAAUAUCCAAGUGUCGACUGUUGGGAGAGUCUAUAAAUCAACCAAAGCCAUUUAUAACCUAUUAUAGACCCUUUUACGGUAAGAAAAGUAGAAUAUAUUCCAUCGAUAGGUUACUUACUUACACGUCGCACUACUAGAGAAACCUAUCCAAUCAAGCCCUGGUUUGGAACCCGAUGACGUCAAAAAAUCUAUCACCAGAUCCUCACCGGCAUCGAACCCUCCACGCGUCCUCGUCCUACAAAGCUAUCAAUGACAGAAAACGACGCCUAUCCCACACCCACUACUGCUCUGUUUCCAUCAUCUAACAGAUCGUUUUCCAUCUCUCCGCCUAUGUAACAGCGUGAUUCUCACGCUCUUUAUAGAGAGUGUAUCAGUUAGGCGACCAACUGUUAGAACUGAACUUCGUUGUUUGGAGCUAAUAACAGACAACCACGUGUGCACUUUCUCGAACCUCCCCAAGGUUCUUACCCACAUGACCAAACAUUACUCUAAGCCCUAGACAGAGCCCACGUCCACCUAUCCUUUCGGCAGUGCAGGACACCUCCUCUUCUCUCAUUGGUUCCCUUGUGUAACCAGACAGCGUUGCUCAAUUACGCCGGAUACGCUACUUUUCUACGGGGCCCACCCUAAAUCUAACCAAUCAGAUUGCGUCACUGUUUAAGGGUAGGCCUGGACACGUGUUUUGUCACGCUAGGUUACUGUGAACUGUGUUGCUUUGAUUAUCGCCUGAGCUCAAACAGAGGCAUUUAGAGUGAUGGAGAGAUAUAUAAAAACAGAGAGAGAUACAGUGCUGUUGCUUUAGUAACGGAUAUGGAGGGAGGAGCAGGGCGGUGCAUGAAAAGUUACGCUGUAGGUGUGCAGGACAAGGUUAUAAUGAAUCGGAUAAUGCCCAGAUUCCGACCGAUUGCGCCAAAACCGGCCACCGGAGGCUCUGGUUCGGGUGGUUCAGCGACUGAUAACAAGGACAUGUUUAUGAAAAAAGGAAGAACAAAGAGGAAGUAUGUUAGGGUUCGGAAGAAUAAUCCUGGGACUAGGCCAAAAAAAAGUACAGCCGAGGGAGAAAUGAAAGAAUAUAAAGAUGGGUUGAACAAGAAGGUGGUGACUCUGCAACUUUUGCCACAGAAUAGUGAACGGAAUGAAUCUCCGGAGAGUGGAUCUGGGUGCAGUUCUGAUCUUACGGAAACAAUCAAGAACUGUCAGGGAAUUGGGGUCCCACCCAUGUGUUUGAACUUCAACAAGGCUGUCCGUAAUGACCUGGAUAGGACGGUGGUGAUGCGACAGAUGAGGGGUGUAAUGGAGUCGUGGGUGACGGUGGAGAGCGUGACCGACACAUGCAUGGAUGUGCGAAGGCUGGGGUGUACGGACGUGGAGCGUAUGAGAAAUCUAGCAGAGGACACGUGUCCCGGGUUCGUAUCGGACGAUUCGAAUAGGGUUUUCUGGGUGAAUGGGGCUUUCAAGAAGAUGAUGAGCCGCCGUAAUGACGGCCUGUCACCGGAAAUAAUAACGGUGUGGUUAGUGGCGAAAGAGAAGCUGCCGUACUUGUACACGGCCUUUACGUGCCAAGUAAAGCUGCAAUACACGAGGGGGAAGGAUAGCUUCACGCAAAUACUGCCUUGUGAUGCGUGGAAGAUGGACGGUGGAGGAUUUGCAUGGAGGCUAGACGUUGAAGCUGCCCUCAGUUUGGGCCGUUGAUUGGGGGGAUCAAACGGCAAAGAUAUAAAAGAACUCAGUCGGCUUGCGUAGUCACCGUGUAACUGUGGGACGUGACCUAACAUGUAGUAUUAAUGAAACGUUGAAGAGAAGGGGUACGUACGUGCGUACUUUACAUGUGAGAGACUAGUAUUGUAGAAAGUGUACAUUUUGUAAGAAACAGAUCAAGACUAUGGUAUUCUAUUGCAAGCACUAUGAUUAAGACGGACGGGGGACCAAGGUACUGAACCCGGAGUAGUACUCGUGGUUGGGAAAAAGCCUAAAUAAAUUUUACCCACCGAUGCAAGUGAUCGUCGAUCAUCAUCAGAUAGAUCGUGAUGCUAAAGUUUGUCUGAGAUUGCAUAAGUCGUCUACCCAUUGCAAGAGGGAAGGAACAACAUCGGAGAGUGGACAUUAAUAUAACUUUGGUGACAAGAAUGUUGACAAUGUAUAUGCAGCUUGCUAGCUACGUGUUUGGCAUCUCUUAUCUAAAGCACAUUUAAUUUAUGAAGGAAAUUUUCUUGCUU